GCGUCGCUAGCUCAGUUGGUAGAGCACCUGACUCUUAAUCAGGGUGUCCAGGGUUCGAACCCCUGGCGACGCA
RNAcentral lists this transfer RNA (73 nucleotides) under Lachnospira sp. RNAcentral's name for it is "tRNA-Lys". It matches the Rfam family "tRNA". Rfam says of the family: Transfer RNA (tRNA) molecules are approximately 80 nucleotides in length. Their secondary structure includes four short double-helical elements and three loops (D, anti-codon, and T loops). Further hydrogen bonds mediate the characteristic L-shaped molecular structure. tRNAs have two regions of fundamental functional importance: the anti-codon, which is responsible for specific mRNA codon recognition, and the 3' end, to which the tRNAs corresponding amino acid is attached (by aminoacyl-tRNA synthetases). tRNAs cope with the degeneracy of the genetic code in two manners: having more than one tRNA (with a specific anti-codon) for a particular amino acid; and 'wobble' base-pairing, i.e. permitting non-standard base-pairing at the 3rd anti-codon position. The record is from RNAcentral. Lineage: Bacteria; Bacillati; Bacillota; Clostridia; Lachnospirales; Lachnospiraceae.